Molecule: ribosomal RNA, 706 nt
Filed under: Arthrobacter sp. SMCC G954
Lineage: Bacteria; Bacillati; Actinomycetota; Actinomycetes; Micrococcales; Micrococcaceae
Description: bacterial SSU rRNA
Rfam family: Bacterial small subunit ribosomal RNA
Source: RNAcentral
GCUCAGGAUGAACGCUGGCGGCGUGCUUAACACAUGCAAGUCGAACGAUGAUCCGGUGCUUGCAUCGGGGAUUAGUGGCGAACGGGUGAGUAACACGUGAGUAACCUGCCCUUGACUCUGGGAUAAGCCUGGGAAACUGGGUNUAAUACCGGAUAUGACUCCUCAUCGCAUGGUGGGGGGUGGAAAGCUUUUGUGGUUUUGGAUGGACUCGCGGCCUAUCAGCUUGUUGGUGAGGUAAUGGCUCACCAAGGCGACGACGGGUAGCCGGCCUGAGAGGGUGACCGGCCACACUGGGACUGAGACACGGCCCAGACUCCUACGGGAGGCAGCAGUGGGGAAUAUUGCACAAUGGGCGCAAGCCUGAUGCAGCGACGCCGCGUGAGGGAUGACGGCCUUCGGGUUGUAAACCUCUUUCAGUAGGGAAGAAGCGAAAGUGACGGUACCUGCAGAAGAAGCGCCGGCUAACUACGUGCCAGCAGCCGCGGUAAUACGUAGGGCGCAAGCGUUAUCCGGAAUUAUUGGGCGUAAAGAGCUCGUAGGCGGUUUGUCGCGUCUGCCGUGAAAGUCCGGGGCUCAACUCCGGAUCUGCGGUGGGUACGGGCAGGCUAGAGUGAUGUAGGGGAGACUGGAAUUCCUGGUGUAGCGGUGAAAUGCGCAGAUAUCAGGAGGAACACCGAUGGCGAAGGCAGGUCUCUGGGCAUUAACU